UACGAAAGGUGCAAGCGUUAAUCGGAAUUACUGGGCGUAAAGCGCGCGUAGGCGGCUUGGUAAGUUGGAUGUGAAAGCCCCGGGCUCAACCUGGGAACUGCAUCCAAAACUGCCUAGCUAGAGUAUUGGAGAGGUAAGCGGAAUUCCAGGUGUAGCGGUGAAAUGCGUAGAGAUCUGAAGGAACACCAGUGGCGAAGGCGACUCCCUGGAUUGAUACUGACACUGAGGUGCGAAAGCGUGGGGAGCAAACAGG
RNAcentral lists this ribosomal RNA (253 nucleotides) under uncultured bacterium. RNAcentral's name for it is "partial 16S ribosomal RNA". It matches the Rfam family "Bacterial small subunit ribosomal RNA", at positions 524 to 776 of the family's 1533-position model. The record is from RNAcentral.